UUGUUUAACACAUUCAAUGCCACCACGAUUUUCUAAUACUUCCCAGCGAUGCCGCCCUAUAAAAAACGCAAACAUGCUAGGUGUGCUCGCGGCACUGCAGGAUGGAAUUACGUAGCACGCUAGGCGUGUUCACCGGCACUGUUAAGAGCAGUGUUUGUGCUUUUGAAAGUUAAAUUAUGGCAGUUAGUAGAUUCCAAGGGAAAACAAAAUAUGUGCAAG
Leptidea sinapis is the source of this 219-nucleotide long non-coding RNA. RefSeq lists it as uncharacterized. The transcript has 3 exons. NCBI's taxonomy places the organism in Eukaryota, Metazoa, Arthropoda, Insecta, Lepidoptera, Pieridae. The record is from RefSeq and is a predicted model, not a curated record.